AUCCAGCUGGCAUACGAGUCCCAAAUAGGACGAAAUGCGUUUUGUCCUGGAU
This 52-nucleotide non-coding RNA is filed under the name Trichobilharzia regenti. The record is from RNAcentral. Lineage: Eukaryota; Metazoa; Platyhelminthes; Trematoda; Strigeidida; Schistosomatidae.